AUUGAACGCUGGCGGCAUGCCUUACACAUGCAAGUCGAACGGUAACGGGCCUUCGGGUGCCGACGAGUGGCGAACGGGUGAGUAAUACAUCGGAACGUGCCCGAUCGUGGGGGAUAACGAGGCGAAAGCUUUGCUAAUACCGCAUACGAUCUACGGCUGAAAGCAGGGGACCGCAAGGCCUUGCGCGGACGGAGCGGCCGAUGGCAGAUUAGGUAGUUGGUGGGAUAAAAGCUUACCAAGCCGACGAUCUGUAGCUGGUCUGAGAGGAUGAUCAGCCACACUGGGACUGAGACACGGCCCAGACUCCUACGGGAGGCAGCAGUGGGGAAUUUUGGACAAUGGGCGCAAGCCUGAUCCAGCCAUGCCGCGUGCAGGAUGAAGGCCUUCGGGUUUUAAACUGCUUUUGUACGGAACGAAAAGCCUUCUUUUAAUACAGGAGGGUCAUGACGGUACCGUAAGAAUAAGCACCGGCUAACUACGUG
This 482-nucleotide ribosomal RNA is filed under the name uncultured bacterium. Its description in RNAcentral is "partial 16S ribosomal RNA". It matches the Rfam family "Bacterial small subunit ribosomal RNA", at positions 30 to 507 of the family's 1533-position model. The record is from RNAcentral.